AUACGGAGGGUGCGAGCGUUGUUCGGAAUUAUUGGGCGUAAAGCGCGUGUAGGCGGUUGGUUAAGUCUGAUGUGAAAGCCCUGGGCUCAACCCGGGAAGUGCAUUGGAAACUGGCUAACUUGAGUACGGGAGAGGGUAGUGGAAUUUCGAGUGUAGGGGUAAAAUCCUGUAAUCCUAGAAGGACCACCGGUGGCGAAGGCGUCUCACUAGAACGAAUCCGACGGUGAGGGACGAAGCCCUGGGGCGC
Molecule: ribosomal RNA, 247 nt
Filed under: uncultured bacterium
Lineage: Bacteria
Description: partial 16S ribosomal RNA
Rfam family: Bacterial small subunit ribosomal RNA
Source: RNAcentral